CCUUGUGAUCUACCCAUGGGCAGGUUGAAGCUUUGGUAACACAAAGUGGAGGACCGAACCGGUUGACGUUGAAAAGUCUUCGGAUGACCUGUGGGUAGGGGUGAAAGGCCAAUCAAACUGGGAAAUAGCUCGUACUCCCCGAAAUGCAUUUAGGUGCAGCGUUUAGUAAAGUGUCUUAGAGGUAGAGCUACUGAUUGGAUGCGGGGGCUUCACCGCCUACCAAUUCCUGACAAACUCCGAAUGCUAAGACAUGUUUCUAGGCAGUGAGGGCAUGGGUGCUAAGGUCCAUGUCCGAGAGGGAAAGAACCCAGACCAUCAGCUAAGGUCCCCAAAUGUAUGCUAAGUUGAAAAAACGCGGUUGGACUGCAUAGACAGCUAGGAUGUUAGCUUGGAAGCAGCUAUUCAUUUAACGAGUGCGUAACAGCUCACUAGUCGAGCGGUCCGGCAUGGAUAAUAAUCGGGCAUAAGUAUACUACCGAAGCUAUGGAUUACAUACGUAAGUAUGUACUGGUAGGGGAGCAUUCUAUCGGCGCAGAAGCUGUCUGGUAAUGGACAGUGGAGCUUAUAGAAAAGAAAAUGUAGGCAUGAGUAACGAUAAAAUAAGUGAGAAACUUAUUCGCCGUAAGAUCAAGGGUUCCUAAGCUAUGCUAAUCAGCUUAGGGUUAGUCGGGUCCUAACAUGUACCCUUUGGGGGAAGUGGAUGGCAAACGGGUUAAUAUUCCCGUACCUGCUCUCAAUAAAAGUGACGUAUGAAUGUAUUAAGUGCGUGCUGACGGAAUAGCACGUUGAACCUAGGUAAACUAGGGAUAGUACACAAAGGUUUCGGCUGGAGUGAUAAUCUUAAGAAGUUUGUACCAAGAAAUAGCGAGAGAAGCAGCCCGUACCGUAAACCGACACAGGUGAUCGAGGAGAGUAUCCUAAGGCGCUCGAGUGAGUCGUGGUUAAGGAAUUAGGCAAAAUAGACCUGUAACUUCGGGAGAAAGGUCGCUCCCUUGAGAGGGGGAGCCGCAGAAAAAAGGCCCAGGCGACUGUUUAUCAAAAACACAGGACUCUGCAAAAUCGAAAGAUGACGUAUAGGGUCUGACACCUGCCCGGUGCUGGAAGGUUAAGGAAGGGGGUUAGAGGUAACUCGAAGCUCUUAACUGAAGCCCCAGUAAACGGCGGCCGUAACUAUAACGGUCCUAAGGUAGCGAAAUUCCUUGUCGGGUAAGUUCCGACCUGCACGAAUGGUGUAACGAUCUGGGCACUGUCUCAACCACGAGCUCGGUGAAAUUGUAGUAUCGGUGAAGAUGCCGGUUAAUCGCAACGGGACGAAAAGACCCUGUGAACCUUUACUAUAGCUUCGUAUUGACUUCGGGUAAAUAAUGUGUAGGAUAGGUGGGAGACUAUGAAUCAGUAUCGCUAGGUAUUGAGGAGUCGUUGUUGAAAUACCACCCUUUAUUUACUUGGAGCCUAACUCCUGACGGAGGACAUUGCGUGGUGGGUAGUUUGACUGGGGUGGUCGCCUCCAAAAGAGUAACGGAGGCUUUCAAAGGUACCCUCAGCACGCUUGGUAACCGUGCGUAGAGUGUAAUGGCAUAAGGGUGCUU
This 1589-nucleotide ribosomal RNA is filed under the name soil metagenome. RNAcentral describes it as "bacterial LSU rRNA". It matches the Rfam family "Bacterial large subunit ribosomal RNA", at positions 721 to 2370 of the family's 2925-position model. The record is from RNAcentral.